UAUUAAAAAAAUUAUCUAUUUGUACUGUUAAAAACUAAUGUUGGAAUAACCAGACAACGACACAUGGUAUGCCAUGUGUACCUCAUAGUGAUAUAUAAAGAGUAGUUUUUAAUAGUAAAAACUGAUCAAAAUCUUUAACA
Gossypium hirsutum (cotton) is the source of this 140-nucleotide non-coding RNA. NCBI's taxonomy places the organism in Eukaryota, Viridiplantae, Streptophyta, Magnoliopsida, Malvales, Malvaceae. The record is from Rfam.